UAUCUCUGUAGAGUCUGCAUAUCAAUAAGCGGAGGAAAAGAAACUAACAAGGAUUCCCUUAGUAACGGCGAGUGAAGCGGGAAGAGCUCAAAUUUGAAAUCUUCAAGGUUCUACCUUGACGAAUUGUAGUUUAAAGAAGUGUUUUCUGUUAGAUGAGUAGCAAAAGUUCCUUGGAAUGGGACAUCAUAGAGGGUGAGAAUCCCGUAUUUGGUUAUUCAUUCUAGCUUUGUGAUACACUUUCAAAGAGUCGGAUUGUUUGGGAAUGCAGUCCAAAAUGGGUGGUAAAUUUCAUCUAAAGCUAAAUAUUGGCGAGAGACCGAUAGCGAACAAGUACCGUGAGGGAAAGAUGAAAAGAACUUUGAAAAGAGAGUUAAACAGUACGUGAAAUUGUCAAAAGGGAAGCGUUUGACACCAGUGUUGUUUUUCCGAAAAUCAAUUACGAAUGGCUUGAUUCUGUGUUGUAUUGACCUUAUCAGCUUUCUUCACUUUUUUCGAGAUCUUUCUUAAUGCACUUUUCGGUUAACAAGUCAACAUCAAUUUCUUUUGUUGUAAAAGAGUAUUCGGAAGGUGGCUUUCUUUUCGGAGAAAGUGUUUAUAGCCCUAUACUUCUACAAUCGGAGAGAUUGAGGUCUGCAGCGUAGAUCCUUCGGGGUUAGAUACACUUGUGCUAAGUUGUAGCUUUUCAUAGACAACUUGUUGACUAUGUUUAGUCAUGCGGCUUACUCGCUUGUGCUAUUUUACCUACGCUUAGGAUGUUGACGAGACUGUCGAUCUC
Molecule: ribosomal RNA, 775 nt
Filed under: uncultured Neocallimastigales
Lineage: Eukaryota; Fungi; Neocallimastigomycota; Neocallimastigomycetes; Neocallimastigales
Description: partial large subunit ribosomal RNA
Rfam family: Eukaryotic large subunit ribosomal RNA
Source: RNAcentral